AUACAGCUGACGAGUCCCAUAUAGAACGAAACGUAUGUCCUGAAU
This 45-nucleotide non-coding RNA is filed under the name Schistosoma haematobium. The record is from RNAcentral. Lineage: Eukaryota; Metazoa; Platyhelminthes; Trematoda; Strigeidida; Schistosomatidae.